AAGUCGUAACAAGGUUUCCGUAGGUGAACCUGCGGAAGGAUCAUUAAACAUAUAUUGGGGGCCGGACCCAAUGCGCGUGUAACCCACGUGCCUCUUGACCCGCCCUGUCGGAAUAUUCUACCCAUGUCUUUUGCGUACUAUUCGUUUCCUUGGUGGGCUUGCCCGCCAAUAGGACACUAUAAAACCUUUUGUAAUUGCAGUCAGCGUCAGAAAAAACUUAAUAGUUACAA
This 230-nucleotide unclassified non-coding RNA is filed under the name plant metagenome. Its description in RNAcentral is "partial contains small subunit ribosomal RNA and internal transcribed spacer 1". The stretch from base 1 to 46 matches the Rfam family "Eukaryotic small subunit ribosomal RNA", at positions 1786 to 1831 of the family's 1831-position model. The record is from RNAcentral.